RNAcentral lists this ribosomal RNA (690 nucleotides) under Vibrionaceae bacterium poc-1-10-22. RNAcentral describes it as "bacterial SSU rRNA". It matches the Rfam family "Bacterial small subunit ribosomal RNA", at positions 66 to 747 of the family's 1533-position model. Lineage: Bacteria; Pseudomonadati; Pseudomonadota; Gammaproteobacteria; Vibrionales; Vibrionaceae. The record is from RNAcentral.
UCUGAACCUUCGGGGAACGAUAACGGCGUCGAGCGGCGGACGGGUGAGUAAUGCCUGGGAAAUUGCCCUGAUGUGGGGGAUAACCAUUGGAAACGAUGGCUAAUACCGCAUAAUAGCUUCGGCUCAAAGAGGGGGACCUUCGGGCCUCUCGCGUCAGGAUAUGCCCAGGUGGGAUUAGCUAGUUGGUGAGGUAAUGGCUCACCAAGGCGACGAUCCCUAGCUGGUCUGAGAGGAUGAUCAGCCACACUGGAACUGAGACACGGUCCAGACUCCUACGGGAGGCAGCAGUGGGGAAUAUUGCACAAUGGGCGCAAGCCUGAUGCAGCCAUGCCGCGUGUAUGAAGAAGGCCUUCGGGUUGUAAAGUACUUUCAGCAGUGAGGAAGGUGGUAGUGUUAAUAGCACUAUCAUUUGACGUUAGCUGCAGAAGAAGCACCGGCUAACUCCGUGCCAGCAGCCGCGGUAAUACGGAGGGUGCGAGCGUUAAUCGGAAUUACUGGGCGUAAAGCGCAUGCAGGUGGUUUGUUAAGUCAGAUGUGAAAGCCCGGGGCUCAACCUCGGAAUUGCAUUUGAAACUGGCAGACUAGAGUACUGUAGAGGGGGGGUAGAAUUUCAGGUGUAGCCGGUGAAAUGCGUAGAGAUCUGAAGGAAUACCGGUGGCCAAGGCGGCCCCCUGGACAGAUACUGACAUU